Molecule: ribosomal RNA, 253 nt
Filed under: uncultured bacterium
Lineage: Bacteria
Description: partial 16S ribosomal RNA
Rfam family: Bacterial small subunit ribosomal RNA
Source: RNAcentral
UACGAAGGGGGCUAGCGUUGCUCGGAAUUACUGGGCGUAAAGCGCACGUAGGCGGUCUUUUAAGUCGGGGGUGAAAUCCUGGAGCUCAACUCCAGAACUGCCUUCGAUACUGGAAGACUUGAGUCCGGGAGAGGUGAGUGGAACUGCGAGUGUAGAGGUGAAAUUCGUAGAUAUUCGCAAGAACACCAGUGGCGAAGGCGACUUCCUGGCCUGUUCUUGACGCUGAGGCGCGAAAGCUAGGGGAGCAAACGGG